Molecule: transfer RNA, 87 nt
Filed under: Hyphomonas sp.
Lineage: Bacteria; Pseudomonadati; Pseudomonadota; Alphaproteobacteria; Hyphomonadales; Hyphomonadaceae
Description: tRNA-Leu
Rfam family: tRNA
About the family: Transfer RNA (tRNA) molecules are approximately 80 nucleotides in length. Their secondary structure includes four short double-helical elements and three loops (D, anti-codon, and T loops).
Source: RNAcentral
GCCUCUGUGGCGGAAUUGGUAGACGCGACGGAUUCAAAAUCCGUUUCUGGCAACAGAGUGCCGGUUCGAGUCCGGCCAGGGGCACCA